GUCCUGAGGGAACCCAGCUGCCACUCCUGAGACACCACACAGAGGGGCCUCGUGGGGAGUGACCAGGUGACAAUGCCUGAGAUGCUGCACGGAGGGCCUCAUGGCGGGUAACUGCGUGGCCCGAAGCCAGGGAGGAACCUCAAGGGGCCAGCAGUCACCAGGGAGCGUGGACAUGUUCCCAGAGCCCGGGUGAACCUUCCAGGGACCACAAACUCACGGCCAUGCUGUCUGCAAGUCCUCACCUCAGACGCAUGGGGUGGUGAACAUUCGUGGCUUGAGGCUGCUAAGUUUUGGGGCUGUCUGUGUGACGACAAAGCUGCAGGCCCCAAGACAGAGAAAACCAUCUGGCAGCUGGUCCUUCUGAUAAAAGACCCAAGAAACCGCAUAGAUCGUCAAGGAGGGAGACCCGGGAGAAAACCCAGGUGCCCGCCACUCCAGCGCCAGGGCCACCGGGGUCCCCCAGAGGCACCCCAUCAGCCGUGGACCCGGGCGGGGCUGUCUCCUGCUGCCCCCGUCGCCUGGUCAGACAGACUGCGUGGAACCGCAGGUUUCACGGGACUUCGCAGGAAGGAGCUGCUGCCACAAUUCUUACAAACCUCAGGUCGUCUUCAGAAAGCAGCAUCAGGUGGGGCGUUUGGACGCACAGGAGGAGCCACACCGAUGGUCCCACAGACGGAGAGCUUGGGCCGGGCCCCAGACUGGGCCUCUCCCUAGAGGAGACCAAGAGGCAAGAAAAUGGAGGCCCCAGGGAGCCGCACACUCGAGAUGGGUGAGAAUCGAAUCCCGGUCAGCCUUGCCCUCCCACUCCAGCCGGGUCACUGGCAUCCUCACCCCCCAAAGCCCAGCAAACACCACACCGCACCUGGGCUCCUGUAAACGUGGUCCCUGCAGUGUUGGGGUGUGCUCACAAGCGUGCAUGGUGUGUGCCUUUUCCUGCAGUGUUGGGGUGUGUGCAUGAGCGUGCAUGGUGUGUGUGCAUGUGCCUCUCCCUGCAGCAUUGGGGGGUGUGUGCACAGGCAUGCAUGGUGUGUGUGCGUGUGCCUUUCCCUACAGUGUUGGGGCGUGUGCACGAGCGUGCAUGGUGUGUGUAUGUGUGCCUUUCCCUGCAAUGUUGGGGGGUUGUGCACGAGCGUGCAUGGUGUGUGUGUGCAUAUGCCUUUCCCUGCAGUGUUGCUGGUCCCAGCGUCUCCUCCUGACGUGGGUUCGAGUUAGCUUUUCAUCUAUAACCCAGUAGAUGAGGCAGGAGGGGCCCCAAGACAUUCUGGUCAGUGUCCCAGACCCCGCUUUCUGGGAUGCUAGGCCCCAGGCCGGGCCCGGACAAGGCUAGGUGGAGAUACUUCUUCCCAUGGCUCUUCCGUCCACAGGGCGGGUGGGUAUCAGCGUGGUUCGGGGUGGCCCAGGGCCUUGUCCUGAAGGUGUGUUUGCAAGGUCAGCACCCUUCUGACUUAAAUGGUCUGUUUAUCUGGCGCCUUUGGGGGCUGAUGAGACUCGGGGCUGAGGAGACCCCACACCGCCCGCCGGCCCAGCAGUGCCCGUGGGUUUGCUUGGGUCCCUGGCAUGAUUGAAGGAGCUCACAGUGGCUCGCUUGGGGCACUUGCAGGCCUGGGCAUGCAGGCAGGUUCUGGAGUGAGUGCGGGUCGUGCCCAGCACUCGGGGACCUCUCUGGAGUUCACAAUCCUCGGUGCUCCUCACCCCCAAUGCUGCUGCUCACACGGCGGACGGAACGUGGCCUGGCCGCUCCCCUCCACGGGUGUCCCCAGGGUGCCCUGCCAGGCACACUGCGGUGCCAGCCCUGACCUGGAGCGAGCUGCCGUUUCCCACCCUCUUGCUUGCCUUCCUCUGAGAGCAAACUCUAGUUCUUUCUUCUCGGCUGAGGGAUCAACAGAAAAAGCUAAAAUGAGGCAAAGAGAUAGAAGAAUCUCCAGGGCGGACCGUGGAAGGAAAGGACUUGCUUUCAUGACCCGAGAACGCUGCCUGCACUAAAGAAACUUCGCCAGAAAAGCCAAUGUUUUCACUCAUGGCACAAAGUACAAAGAAUGCAAGCACAUGCUCAUCCUGAGGCCGGGGCUCCUGCAGGAACACGAGACCCGCUGUUCCUCCCAAUGAACCCGAGAGGGAGGAGACAGGCCAGGGUGUUGAGCACGGGUCAGGGCAGACAAGAGAAUUUGGCAAAAAUAAGGAAAUUUGGCCCUUUGCCCCCAGGCUGUGGGCUGCUGGAACAGCAAGAAAAUCGAAGGCUAGAGGGGCCUCCAAAAGCACGGUCACAGUGCUCCCGGGGCCCCAGGAGCCACCCCUCCCAUCCGCUUCGGAGGUUCAGCCUGGUCGGUGUCAGCUUAGUUUUCCUGGGUCUCGAGCCGCUGCAGGGCUGGCAUCUGUCUCCUGGGCGCGUGCUCGGCUGCUCCCAGUGCCCUUCAGUUAAGCCGGAGAUGAACCUCCGCGCAGCGGGAGCCGUUUCCUCCAGGCAGCCCAGGCGCGGGGUCCCGGAGCGCUGUCCGCACGGCUCCUACACCGGCUCCAGGUGUGAGGCCACGGCUCUGACGGGUGCCUUCCCGACCGGCUCCUUCCUCGUCCCGCUGCCCCUCACCGUGUGCAGCAGGGAAGGCGGGUUCAGCCCAUCGGGAGUCCCACUGCUCAGGGCCAGCUCCAGGUGAUCAAUACGGGUCGCCAGGCACCAGGGACCCAGGGGCUGACGGGAGGACCACUGGUUCACUUUCCAGGUGUUUCCAUCUCCAGGCUGAAUUUCGAUAUUCCUGAUGUUCUGAGACGGACUAAGUGGUUGGCCCCGGAAGGUGCUAGAAGGCACGACCACUCUGACUUGUUCUCUGAUGACAAGUAAAGCCAAGACAGACGGGGCCCCGUAGCCCCCGAUGGUGCUGGGGGUCACCCAGGCCUGCGUCUGCCCCUCAGCCCUGCAGGUUCCAGCUCAGACCGGGCAGUCUGGGGUCAUGGAAACUCAGCCGGUUUGGGCAUGAUGGCCAGGGUUGGCUGCCAGGUUCUCAUGCGGCCUGGAGCAGGGUGAGCCGCUCUGCUCUGUGCGGGGCCAGAGCCCACACCAAACAUGACGGCCGUGGCCCCAUGUCCAGCCCUCAGGCCAUGCCCAGGACGCAGCACAUCCUGUCCUGGGUGUCGAGGGCCUGCUUCAUGCCAGGCUGUGCCGCCAGCUCCCCUUGUCCAGCCUCCUUCAGGGUCCGAGAACAGCUGGCUGACGGGGACUCGGGGCGUCCCACCAGAGCUCAUCCCUGAGAUUUGGCUCAGGAGCUCCACUCCCACCGCAGUGCCCAGGAGCCCCAGCCCGCAGCAGCAGCACCCCGUGAGCACGGAUGCCACUGCUCAGGCAGCCGCUCCCAUUAAGACGAAGUGAAAGGGGGGCAGCCUCGGGGUGUGGGGCCUUCGAGAUUAACAAACUCCAAGCAGGCCUAAGACUCUGUCAAUCCCCCAGAUCCACUGAGGAUCCUUGAGUCCAGAGUCCAGGGAGAGAGGGUGGGGCAAAGGCCCCUUGAACCGGCUCUGAGCCCAGUUCUGGGCCGGGGACAUCUGCAGCAUCCAGGGACAAUUUUGACAGUCAGUAGGGUGGGAGGGGCCAGGGAAGCUGCUCAGUGUCUGUGGUGGGCUGAAGGGUGGCCCCAAAGAUGUGUCCCUGUCCAAACCCCACUACAUGCGUGUGGGACCUCGUUUGGAAGGGGGUGUCUGUGGAUGUGGUUAAGUUAAGGACCUGGAGAUAAGACCAUCAUGGAUUUCCAAGGGGCCUCAAAUCCCAUGACAGGUGUCCAUAUGAGACACGCAGGGGAGGCCACGUGAAGACCAAGACAGAGGUUGGGGAGAUGCGGCCCAGAGAUGCCUGGAGCCCCAGGAGCUGGAAGAGGCAGGAAGGACCCUCCCCCAGAGCCUCAGAGAGAGCAUGGCCCUGGGACACCCUGGUCUUGGAGCACCCAAGCUCCAGGACAGAAGCAGCGUGAACAGGGCACCACCCCUGGGGAGGGAGGUCGCCAUCCGGCAGGGCUGGUACCACUCGGCAUCCACAGAGCCGCCCAACAGAGAGUGUAGGGUCAGGGCUGGAGACACGGGGUUCAGGCCCAGCCCCGCCUGCCUGGCUCUCAAUGUCCUCAUCCGUCAAAUGAAAGACCUCAGGGGCAGGAGGCAGAUCCAGUGAAAGCUACCACCCACCACCUCUAUGUGAGAAAGUGGGGCGCUUGGGGGCUGUGCUUGCCAGGGCUGGGUCCCAGGCCUAUGACAGGGAAAGCCCCCAGCCCACGUGGGCCCAGGGGUGCUGGGUACGCUCAGCUUCCUGACCUGUUAAGUAACUCAACUCCACGAUAGCACUUUGAGCCGGAUCUGCCACUGCACUCCUAGAUGGGGAAACUGAGGCACACAGGGAUGAAGGGCUUGCCGAGGUCACUAAGGCGGGAAGAGGCAGCGCCCAGUGUCAGCCCAGGCCCUGGGCGCAGCCAUGCCGUCCUCACACCAGAGCCCUCUGUGGCCUUGGCCAGGCCUAGUGACUCAGAAUCUGCACAUGCCAGCCUCUCCUGGGUGGCGGUCAGCGCCCAGCACUCAGUGACACCCAGCCCCAUAGUGGACAGUGAGCUGCUGUGUCCACUGGCCUUCCUGGCUCCUGGCAGCACUGACCCUGCUCAGGCAGGGCUGGGGCAUCUGCAUGACCCGAGGGGCCCAGGCAGAUGUCCCCACGCAGGUGCCCACUGUGAGCGCAGGAGUGUCCUGGGCCCCGGGCCUCCUGUCAAGCGCCCUGUGAGUGCACCGCAGGUGGCCCUGGAGGCCUCGGGCCAGUGGGGGAUCAGCCCUCCCUGUUGCAGAGAGCUGGUAGAGCCACAGCCCCUCCCUGCACCCUGGCAGGAGGUGCGUGUCCUGGGGGGCCCAGGCCACAGCGAGGGAGCAGCCGGACCAGCAGGGUCCAGCCACUUGUGGGGGCUGUGGUCCUUGUCGGGGCUGUGGGUUCCAGGCACGAUGGAGCAAGACCCACAGGCCGAGCAGCCCGGGGCUGGAGUGUUGUGGGGCCGUUUAGAGAAACUCCCUCCCUGUCGGCCCAGAACUCAGGCAGCAGCCAGUGCCCCUCGGCUGCCUGGCCCUCCAGCUGGGCGCAAACGUGACCAACGCCCUGGGGCCCCAGGUGCCCCUGCUACCCCUGAGUCCCAGCCAGUCCACCUGGUCUCCAGAACCUUCUCGACCCUCCGCCUGCUGGGCUUCCCCUCCGCGCCUCCCAAUGCUUUUGCAAAGUGCAAUAAGAUGAAUUAGCAGAAAAGGGAUGGGCAGCCUGGAGUCGCAACCACGCCAGCCAGCAUCACAGCGUCCAAAUGUGCGUCUCCGGCACCAGGGAUGUCAUGGCUGUCACAGCCGCAGAGAGCUGGCUGCAGGACCUCAAGGCCGAGGAGGAGCAGGUGCGGGGCCUGCGGCAACCCUGGCAGGAAGGGCGCCGGCUGAAGCUCUGAGCUCGGGCUGCAGUCCUGGGUCCCAGCAGGCUAUCUGGGAGGAACGAUCUGUGGUGGAUAAGAAAACAAGUGCUGGGGCCCUACCCGGGCUCAGGACGACUCACAAGUCCCUUCCGUGCACUGGCUCCAGAUGCGCACUCCACUCAGACACCCAUCGUCAGGGACCUUGUUGGAGCCCCCAUCAAGCACCGGGAAGACGAGCUGGGGCCCCGGACACUCCUCUCUAGCAGCCCGAAUGCACCCCCCCGCCCCUGUCCAGGAAGACGCCUGCCAUGGCCACCCCACUUGGCCACUCUGUGCAAACGCCCCGUGUGGUCUCCCCAAAGGGUCUGCUCUGUUUGGGGCGAGUGGAGGGGGGGCUCUGACCCCAAGAAACGUCCUCCCACGAGAUGUGGAGGCCAUGCACACCCUGCCCUGCCACCCUCCCUUCCUUUCCUUGGACAGCGGCAGAGGCCGAGUAUACGCGGGGACUGGACAGUCCACGGCUCAGGCCACGUCCUUCUGCCCCAGCCCCUGCCAGCACUGACUGGCCACCCAACACAUAGGUGAGGGUCCAGCACUGGCCCGAGCCCUGGAGAGAGCAGCAGAGAUGACAUUGUCCGCCCUCGGGGCUCCGGGAGAGCUCACCUGCGUGGGAGCUUGGCUGAGCCGUCAGGGAACAGGGUCCAGGCUCAGCUGCCACACGUCCCUCUCCUGGCAGAGGCACAAGGGGACAGGACCUCCUGUCUCUCUGCAGACCCGGCUCCGUGACCGACCUGUGGUGGGGGAGUGGGGCCCUUGGCUGAGAGAGGAGCCCCGGAGUGUCUUGGCCCUUCUGGCCAGCCUGUGCUGUCCUGGACAGCCCUGAGGCAUGAAGUAACCAGUUGUUGGUUCAGCUAGAGUGCUCUGGGGGGUCUGCCCUCGUGCCCUUCCUACAGCUGACCUGUGUGUACCGCCGAGCACCGCGGGUCAGGCACCCUGGCCACCACGUUCACUUGUUUGAUGCCUUUGAUAUGUGGACAAGAGGGCCGUGCCCCUGCUGAAGCCCACAGACAGGCGAAUGCAGGGCCUGAGCGGCCAGGCUCGGAGCCAUGUGGCUGUGGUGCCAGGCGCUGGGAGAGCCCUGAGCUGUGAGAGGUCCUUCCGCAAGUGGGAGGCAGGUGGACUGGGAUGCGUCUCCCAGGAUUCUGAUGAGAGGGAGGAAAUCCCGACAGGUGUUUCCGGCUGCUGUCAUCAGCACUGGCCUUGGCGGCUCACGUUUCCCUCUGAGAUGCAGCAGCACAGGACGGGGCCGUGGGCGAGGGAGGGAUCUGGAGAACAGACAGUAUUUGCACAGGUUUAGCUCUGAGCCGAGGGUCUGCCUCAGAACUCUGCCUUGGCCGUGUGGCAAACCUCUUCGUAUCCAUCCCCUGACGGUCUACACCGCAGUCUGGUGCUUAUCCUGGAAGCUGGCGGCUCACACCUCCAUCAUACCUGGACCUUCCCAGGCCAGGAUGGGCUGCUUCCAGCCAUGACAGUGGGAUGCAGCAGGGACCCCCUAGGAGGACAGCACCAGUCACAUUAAAUCAUUCGUGUUGUUUGUGGGUGGAUUAGUCAGCUCGGUAGCUGUAACAAAAUACCCCAGGCUGGUGGCUUCAACAGCAGACACUUACUUCUCACAGUUCUGGAGGCUGGAAGGUCUAAGAUUCACACACGUGAUUCUAAUGCAGCCAUAAGCUGGCCAUUGAGCACAGCCACGUGGCACCCAGAUCACUGGGCCAAACGUCCCACGUCCCACGGCCCCCACGGUCUGGCAGCACCAUGUCCCCCACGACCCCCAUGGAUCCACGGCCCCCAUGGUCCCACAGCUUCAUGGCCCCCACGACCCCCAUGGUCCCACAGCUUCACAGCCCCCAUGGUCCCCACGGCCCCCAUGGCCCUACGGCCACCACAGUCCCAUGGUCCCACGGCCUCCAUGACGCCAAUGGCCCCUCGGCCCCACGGCCCCAGCUCUCUGCUCACAGACCUCCUUUCAGCAUUUUCACCAGACGGUUUUAGUCCUGUCGCACAUUUCAGUUGCUAUCAGUCUAUGAACACAGACUUCUCAUUUGCACCCCAUUCUGAUUCCCUUGGGAAGUUCUUUGCCCACGUCCUGGGUCCUGAUUGCAUGGAGAGCACGCGGGGUCUGCCUGCAAGAAGGCCCUGUCGCUGCUGCCCCGCGUGCCAUCGAAAGCACGUGCCUAGGGAGGGAGAGAUCUGAAAGUUGUCAGCACUGGGUACAGCCAAAGCCAUGGCCUCGAGGCUCAGCCCCGAGGAGUCGGCCUGGGGGAGGAGAAGAGGCCAGAGCCUGAGAAAGAGCAGGUGGGGGGAGCGGACAGCAGGCUCUUCCCACCUCCUCAAACACUUCCUGAAGACCAAACGAGAAAAUCACAGGGCAACACAAAAACCCAUGGACAGCCGCCUCCAGGUCUGGACACCCACCCCCAGCACACCACGACUGGCAAGGGGUCAGCGAAUGCCAGGGGCAUGGGGAGCCAAGACGCCCAGGAUAGGCCUGGGCCGUGUACCCCAAAUCACCAAUAACACUCACCCCGAAAGGAGCAGACACCAGGACUGGACCUGCGUACACAGAUGCAGGAGGCCCGUGAAACCGGGAGACCCACCUGGGAAUGCAGAACCUGCAUGUGACGUCGCCUAGUCCCCGAGGGCUGCAGGAACGCCCGGAAAACCUCCCUCUGGAGGACAGACAGACUCUCACCUGGACCGAGCAGAGCAGGGCGUGGGUCUGGGCCAGAAGAAGCUGCAGGUCAGGGGGGCCUGGAGGGCAGAGGACAGAGUGAGGACAGUGCCACACGGCCGAGCCAGAGCAGCACUCUGCAAUCAAGGCCACUUCCUGGCAUCUUCCUGAGGACUCAGUGCAGAAGGCAGGGCCACACUCCAGGGGGACCCGUCUGAGUCCUUCUGUGAUGGCCGAGAGAAGACCUGGCUGGUGAGGACACUGCCUUCCCGGCCACCGCCCAGGACCCCCAGAUCAUCACGUGGAAACCCAUCCAUGUGCACAGGAGGGACAGACCACACGCUCAGACACAUGCGUGUGCACACACACAUACUCACCUUAUUCUUAGAUUCUUUCUCGUUGUUAUUUCUGAAAUUGCUUUCAUUUCUUGCAGUGUUUCCUAAUUUCUGUCGGCUGCUUCACGUUUAACAGCACUGCUUCCAGCUCCUCCAUUUCUGACUUGUACUCUUGUGUCAAAGCUUGGUUACCACCUAAUUACUUUUAAUUCAUUUUGAAAUGUUAGGAUACAAUUUUCAUCUGCUUUUCAGUCAUGUAUUUCUAUGUUUUUGUUGUCUGUUAGAAUAUUUUUUAAUUCUUUUUUUAUUCUAACGACUUUCACGGGGUUACACGGCAGUCCCGGUGUACAUGCGUGUGGUAUGUGUGGUGUAUGUUCUUGUGUGUACAUGUGUAUGUAUUUGGAAUCUUCAGAAACAAAAAGAAGAACAAGAACUCAGAACUGUAGUUCAGGAACACAUAGAGAAGACUAAAGACACACAGAGCCCGGGAAACCAAGCCUGAACAGUCAGCACCAACAUACAUCCUCAUACACUGUUGGGCCCUAAUGAUAAGGGAAAAACUCACUUUGAACAUUGAUGCAAAAAAAAAAAAAAUCCAAAUUUAUUGACCAAGGAAAGAACAUAAGGUUGGCAUCAAAUGGCUCAGUAACAACUCUCUGCUGGAAAACAAUGGAGCUGUGUUUUAAAGAUGCUCUAGGGAGGGAAACAUGGGCCAAGAAUGCAGACCCAGCCGGGUAUCCUGCGAGAACAAAGGCAGAAGAGUUGUCAAUACGGAAACACGGAGGGAGUGUCACCCCUUCCUGAAGAAUUUACUAAAGAACUAACUUCCGACAACCACAGGACAAUGGGAGACGCUUCCGCCCAGGUUCUGAGGCUGGGCCUGAGACGCAUGUACUCAUGGAGCCGAGCCCAAGGCAUCGAGAGGACAGGAACAAGGUGGAUGCACACGUCACAGGGUUAGGAAUACAGAAACAGUGCCGCUGACAAAGAACAGAGUGAGCUUCACAAGGGCCGCACAGUGUUUCCCUGGGAGAGGAUGCCACCCAGGCCGACACGUCUGCAGCAGAAGUCUCAGCUGAUUUAGAAGGACGAUGAUGAACACUGAGACAUCUGAAGUCCAAGCCCAAAUGGCGAAAAUAGGCUAAAACGGAGGACCACAGAAUGCUCAAGUAACUCAAAAGGAGGGGGGAAAUGGGAAGCAGAGGAGUGAGGGAGAAAGGGAAAGACAAAAGCACAUAGUGAAAUGCCACCUAAAUCCCAGGAAACAAUGACAGUAAAUCUAAGUGGUCCAAACAUACCAGUUAGUAACAGAUAUUCACAACGAAGUUAAAAGUGACCACAGUAUACACUGUCUCCAAAACAACUUACUUGAAAUACAAUGAUUUGGUAGACUAACAAGAAGUCAGAGGAUGUGUAAUGUGAAUACUAAUCAAAUAGAUGCUGAAGUGACUGUGAUGACAUCAGACAAGUAGAUCUCAUAACAAAGAAAAUCACCAGGGACAAACACAGCAUGACAGAACGAUUAAAGAAAAAGAAAAGUGAAUUCACCCAGAAGACAUAACAAUCCGAAAUGCAUAUGAACCUGACAAGAGAGACUCAGGAUAUAUGAGGCAGAAAUCGAUGGAGCUGAAAGGAGAAAUAAACAAAUCCACAGCCAUAGUCAGAGGCUUCAAUAGUCCUCUUCCAAAAAGUGAUAGAGGCAGUGAAAAGAAAACCAGCAAAGAGACAGAAAACCGAGCGUUCUGAACCAACUGGAGCCAGUCGACACCUGCACAACACUCCACGUGACAGCAGAAGGCACAUUCUCUCCACGUGCCCAUCCACACGCACCCAGAUAGACCGUACCCCAGCCACAGAACAGACUCUGACAAAUAUGAAACAGUUUUGUCACAUAGAGUGUGUUCUCUGAUGGUGAUGGACUUAGACUAGAAAUCAAUAACAGGAAAAUCUCCAAAUGCCUAGAAAUUUGACAACAUUUUACCAGAUGACCCUUGGGUCAAAGAGGAAGUCUCAAAGGAAAAUUUUAAACAUUUUCAAUGAAAAUGAAAACACAACGUAUCAAAAUUUGGGGGAUGCAGCUAAAACAAUGCUUAGAAGGAAAUUCACGGCAUUAAAUCCUUAUGUUAUGCUAUCACAGGAAUAUAAAUAAUCUAAACCUCCUCCUCAAGAAACAAAGGGGAAAGAAGGAAAUAAUCACAAGCAUGCAGGGAGGGAAAUAAUGAAGAAAAGAGCAGAAAUUGGUGCAAUUGAAAGGGAAGAAUGACAUAAAAAAUUAACGACAUGAGUUUUUAAAAGAUCAAUAUAAUUAAUGAACACCGAUCAAGACUGACCAAGACAGAAAGGAGAAGACAGGCUCACUAUGUGGACUGAAGGGGCCGUCACAGGCGUUAGAAGACGACGAGAGGACUGUGACCAGUCCUGCGCAUAUAAAGCCAACUCUUUAGUGAAAUAGACCAAUUCCUUGAAAGCUACAACUCACCAAAACUCAUCUAAGAAGAAAAAAAAUCUGAACAGUACCAUCACUAUUAAAGAAAGUGAAUCUGUAACUUAAAACUUUCCAAAAAAUAAAUUUCCAGGCACAGAUGGUUUCAUUGGUGAAUUCUACUGAACUUCUAGAGAAAGAUUUAGAUCAAUGUUGUCUAGGCUCUUACAGAAAACAGAAGAGCGAGCAAGGCUUUGCACUUAUUACAUUUGGCCAACAUUGCCAAGGCAUGACCUUACAAGAAAAGGAAAACUAUGGCCUAUUAUUAACACAGACACAAAAACUCUAAACGAAAUAUCAGCAAACUGAAUCCAGAAAUAUCAACAAAAAAUACACAACCAAGGGGGAUUUUUUUGGAAAUGCAAGGCUGGUUUAAUAUUUGAAAAUCAAUUAACAUAAUGCACUAUAUUAACAGUCUUUCAAAAAUGAUAUUGAUUGUUGAAGAAAAAGUAUUUGAAAAAUUUAACAUCUAUUCUUGAUAAAAACUCUCAGCAAACUAAAAAUAGAAAACAGAACUUCCUCAUCCUAAUAAAGAGCAUCUAUGGAAAACCUACAGUUAGCCUCAUUUCUGUUACAAUGUCUCUGAUUUCUAGCAUUUCGUUUGACUCCUAGAUAUCCAAUGGUAGAGACUGGAUGCUUCCCCCCAGGACCUGGAAUAAGGUGAGAAUGUCUGCUCUCUCCACUUCUGUCACCACUGCAUUGCAGGUUUGAGCCAAGAGAUAAGAAAAAGAAAUAAAAGAUAGCCAGAUUAGAAACCAAGAAAUUAAAAUAUCUUUAGUUGCAGACAACAUGACCACCUAUGUAGAAAACUAGAUUAAAUCUAAGGAAAAGCUACUAAAACUAAAAAGUGAGUUUAACGAGCUCACAAGAUAUGAGAUCAAUAAACAAAAAUCAUAUAUCUAUAUACUAGUUAUGAACAAUUGAAAAACUAAAUUUUAAAAAACAAUACAACACAAUAGCUCAAAAAUUAUAUAUAUAGAUACAAAUCUAAGAAAACACGUACAGGAUCUGUAUGCUGAAAACCACAAAAUGCUGAUGAAAGAGAUCAAAGAACUAAAUAAGUGGAGAGGCAUACCAUGUUCACAGACCAGAAGACUCAGCAUGGAGCAGAUGUCAAUUUUCCCUACCUGAAUCCAUAGAUUUAAAGCAAUUUCCAAAAAAGAAAAACAACAACUCUGUAACACUUUUUUAUAAAUAAAUGAAAGCUCAUUCUAAAAUUUAUAGGGAAAGAUAAAGGAAUUAAAGUAGCCAAAACAACUUCUAAAGUGAAGAACCGUAUUUGAUUUUAAGACUGACUAUGCAGCUACAGUGACCAAGACAGGUAUUGGCAGAGAGGCACAGAGAAUAGAUAGUCUGGAGAAGACAGGCAAGUCGGCCAAUCAAAGUUUGAAAAAGUACAAAGGCGAUGCAAUGGAGAAAGGAUAGUCUUUUAAUCAAACGGAAUUGAAACCACUAGACAUACGUAGGCAACCACCACUCCCACCUCCCCCACCAAAAAAAACUUGUCCUAAACCUCACACUUUUGUAUUAAUCAUGCUUUCCUAUUUCCUUAUCUUAUGACGUUUUGACAUCUUAAAAUUCCUGCUGGCUGAGGAGAGACUGGUGCUUCAGGGGCAGCGCCCUCCCAUCCCCUCACGCCCCUUAGAGAGUGAACCGCAUCCACUGGCCUGGGUCCACAGGCCGCCUGCUGCACUGUGGGCAGGAACAGCCCGGGCCCUUGAGGAGAACAAGUGCAGGCCUGCAGCUGGAGAGGCGGAGCCAAGGGGAAGACAAAGGCCCGGGGCAGCAGGCCGACCUGCAGGAGUCACCGCCAGCCUGAAACCAGCUGUCCUUCGAUGGACACAGGCCACUGUCCUCAGGAUGGGAGAAGUGACACGUGUGUGAACCCGUGGCCUCAAGCCCGCACGCAGGAGAGGCACGCACUCUCUCUGUGACCUGUGGGGCUCCCCAUAACCCACGAUGAUCUAACAGGACAGCCCACAAAAGCAGCCCUCAGGUCCAGGAGCUGACGGCGUCUCUGACUUGUCUCUUCCCAGAGUGGCCGGCCAGGACUCUGCCCAGACAGGACAGAGCUUGGGAAUGCGGACAGACACCCGCAUCUCCAGUUGCCUCUCGGCCGUGGAAUCCACUCCCAGGGCCUCACCUCCUUGGACCCUCUCAGCGAGGCCUCGCUGUCUCCCACUACAUGUGGACACUGCUUCUCGAGCUGCGCCUGCACAGGCAUCAGGCCGCCGAGAACAUGUGCUGUGCGUCCACCCGCCCCGUGGACCACAUGCCUCCAUGUGCAACUUCCCACCUAAGAUCAGGCAGUGUUUACAUUUUCGGGAACUAGUCCCAGGGGCCUCUCCAGGCAGGACCACGGGGUCAGCAGACCCUUCUUCUGAGGCCCUCGACUCAUCAAUCAAAGGCAGAGGCUUCACACCCAGAUGCUUCCCUCCAGAUCAGCUGGUCCAAGAGAAAGCACCUUGAGCUACACAGGAAAAUCUAGGUUUUCCAGUAGCUGUGUUAAAAAACCAAAAAGCAACAUGGUAUUAAUUUUGAUAAUACAUGUUAUUUAACUCAAUGUACCCCAAAUAGGAUUACUUCAGCACGUAACCAAAUGUAAGGUUCUGCUGAGGCAUUUUGCCUUCUCUUCUCUUUGCUGCCUCUCCCGCUGGGGCACGUGUCACCCCUGCACAUAUCUCUCUGUGGAGGGCGUGUUUCGGGUCUCCACAGGCCAGGUGGCCAUUGGCCACCGACUGGACUUGUCACUUCACGCUGCCAGGCCCCCCUGGAUUCCCUACAUCAGCUUUGAAGCUAAACUUGCUUGACACAGCGUGGCGAGGGAGCCUUGUGGAACCUGUCCCAUGGGGACCCUGGGCCAG
Long non-coding RNA from Equus caballus (horse), 13817 nucleotides. The record is from Ensembl. NCBI's taxonomy places the organism in Eukaryota, Metazoa, Chordata, Mammalia, Perissodactyla, Equidae.